This is a long non-coding RNA of Hibiscus syriacus, 1764 nucleotides long. RefSeq lists it as uncharacterized. The transcript is spliced from 6 exons. Lineage: Eukaryota; Viridiplantae; Streptophyta; Magnoliopsida; Malvales; Malvaceae. The record is from RefSeq and is a predicted model, not a curated record.
CCUGGAUUUAUUUUUCUCCAUUUCUCAGCUGGGCAGGAGAGACUGAACCACGGGUUAUUUUCCGUAAGACCUUGCCACAAAUCCUCCGGGGAGUCUGUGACAGUACUUGCUGACCGUGAUACUACCUUACUGAGAUACUUUGAUUGCACCCGUUUAGGUGCAAUGAUAAGUUUAUGGCUUCUCUUAUACUGCCAUGAAUGAUGUAGCGUGCUUCUGGUUUUGUUGGCAAUCAGGAAUAGUUCAGCAUUAUGCAAUUCUCAGGAACAAUGAACAGAUUGAUCAUCCUAUCCUGAUCACAGAAUGUGUGCAAUCCAGUUCAAUCUCCAGCAAAAAUGGCAGAACUUCUUUUCGAGACUCACGGAGUUCCAUCUGUAGAUUCUUGUGUCGAUGCUAUAUCAGCUGCGUGAGAUUUGUGAGAAAGAUACAUGGUCUAGCUAUUGGUGGAUGUAUAUCAGCUGCGUGGGAUUUGUGAGAAAGAUGGUCUACCUAUCUCUCCAGGGUCAACUCAUGCCAUUCCAUUUGUUGAUGGGGAGCCUGUUUACAAAGGAUGCUCCAGAACUAACAUCAGUGCGGUGGAUACCAUGUCACUGACAAUUUGAAGCAACUUCUUUCACUUAGGUAUCCUCAUCAUAUGCGAGUAUAGAUUCAGCUGGAUUGCAAGAAUCCAAACCUGUUUGCAUUAGAGAAUCUGAUAAUGUUGUCUAAAUGACUAUAAAGGGCUAGAUUCAUGUGGGAAAAGAUUUAAGAUGGAACACUGCUAUAUUACUCAAGAUUACGCUUUAGAAGCUCGAUUAUUCCAGGUAAUGGCUUUGGGUUUGUUUUUCCUUCUGUGAUCCUCUUUGCAACUGCCGAGAAAGGUAUAUUAUUAUAACAGAAAGGGGACCGCUCAUGUGGGUUCUGCGAAGAGGUCUUCCAGAAUUAAUGAACUUGAAAAUCAAUUGCAUGGAUUGGAAUUUCUUUUGCAACAACUUGAACAAGUUCAAGAGGAAGAAAUCCCUUUGUUCCUUUCGAAGACCGGUUAUGUUUCUAGACAGGAAAUAGAAUUAACUCUUGCAAAAGUAAGGCCAAGGCUGAACAAGCUGAAAAUAGUACUGGACCAGCCGUACAAACCAAUGGAAUUGAGAACUAGUUGACUAUCUGGUCCAACGUUGUAUAUAAACACGGCUUUCCAAUGAACAACAUAGAAUCGGUUUAACUAGUUUAAAAUCAGUUGCGAGUACUAUACACACAUACACACUCUUUAGAAUUAAUAUUUGUGUCAUUCCUUUAUCAAUUAUCUUAUUGCUCGGCAUUCUUCACUAUGGCUUUUUUAUGUAGAACAGCUGCUCUUUCACCGACCACAUCGAGGCACUAAACAAGGAGAAUGGAUAUAGCAAUGUUCGUUAAAGACAAAUUUCUUAGAAUCUGCGAGAGCUUAGCACAAAAAAUGCUCAGCAAUGCAGAUCAUUCUCUCGUAUUGGUCAAUAUGCCCACUGCUGCUAACCUAGAUGAUGCAUCAAGUUUGCGCUUACGGUUCAGCUCUGACAUUUUGAACAGUUCAAUUCCUUGUUUAAUUACCGUUACUGUUGAAGGCAAGUACUCCGAUCCAUUAAAGUUUUCGCCCUGAAUCUGUUAAACAGAAUAUUCAAUUUCUUAGUUGAACCUCUCCUUAUUUAAAUCAUUUUUGGUGAGUUUAGUAGAAAUUAAGGGCACUGUCAAUGUCUUGGGCAAUCUGAGACGGGGAUUGAAAGUCGGAUUUCGAGCUUAACUGUGACGUAUCUGAAA